UACGUAGGGGGCGAGCGUUGUCCGGAUUCAUUGGGCGUAAAGAGCUCGUAGGCGGCUGAUCGAGUCGGGUGUGAAACCCUCAGGCUCAACCUGGGGUGGUCAUUCAAUACUGGUCUGGUUGGAGUCCGGUAGGGGACCAUGGAAUUCCUGGUGUAGCGGUGAAAUGCGCAGAUAUCAGGAGGAACACCGAUGGCGAAGGCAGUGGUCUGGGCCGGUACUGACGCUGAGGAGCGAAAGCGUGGGGAGCGAACAGG
RNAcentral lists this unclassified non-coding RNA (254 nucleotides) under uncultured Acidimicrobiia bacterium. Its description in RNAcentral is "contains 16S-23S intergenic spacer region". It matches the Rfam family "Bacterial small subunit ribosomal RNA", at positions 524 to 776 of the family's 1533-position model. Lineage: Bacteria; Bacillati; Actinomycetota; Acidimicrobiia. The record is from RNAcentral.